This is a long non-coding RNA of Gastrolobium bilobum, 996 nucleotides long. RefSeq lists it as uncharacterized. The record is from RefSeq and is a predicted model, not a curated record. NCBI's taxonomy places the organism in Eukaryota, Viridiplantae, Streptophyta, Magnoliopsida, Fabales, Fabaceae. The transcript is spliced from 3 exons.
UACUUCAUGCAACGCUCCCAUCACUGUUGAAGAUAUCUCAUCCUCAGAGCUCUCUGCAAACUCUCCUACCCACGCACGGCAUCGCUCCUGCAAAUCAGCGAAGGACAAAGCAUGAAAGUAGAAAUCAUCAGGAACCAAAGUCUAGAAGCAAUGCCUAAAGAGGAAAUCAGAGAAGACUGACGAAAGACCCAAGUCUGAAUAUCUGGCAAUUCACCAAAAGACCCCAAGUCUUUCUUGGAUCCAUUGGGCUCAAUGAGGAAAGACUUCUUCUGGUUUAUUCUAUAAAAGGGCAAAGGAAUUCGAAAAAAGGGGUGGGAAAAUCAGAGGAGUUUUUCGAUCUGAAGAAAAAGAAAAAAUCAGUUUGGGUGUUCUUUCAAAUUGUGAGGAGUGAAAAUUUCUAUUUGUAUCUGAGAGAAAUUGAUAUAUUCUAAAUAAAGGUUUUUCUUUUCUUUUUGUCUGAAGAAGAAGAAAAAGAAGAGCGGAAGCCAUUUGGAUUUUUUUUGAGAGAUUUUAUAAUUGCGGAGUAGGGCUUUACAUUUUGAGAAGACUUGUUGUGUGUCAAAAUCGAACAUUGAAAAGGGGCUAAAGUUAUUGUUCAGAAUCAUUGCAGAAGUCUCCUUUGUGCUCUGUGACAUUUACCAAGCUUGGAGAAGGGAAGUACUAGGAAGAGCUGAAGAUUUUGUUGUUCGAUUGAGCUAAGAACAAGGAACUUACCAUGGACAAUUUCAAAUUAGAAGAUGAUGCUCCUAAUGAAGAAAAAAAUGUUCAGAGAUGGAAAAAAAAGCCAAGGAGGGUUCAAGUCAAGGAGAGCCUUGACCAUGGAGGAAUAUUUCAAGUUCAUCCACUUAAAAUCAUUAUUCAUGUGUAUGAAGACGUUGCUUCUGAUCCUAAGUCUUCAAAACUUAUCACUCUUAGGUUUUAAUACAUGGUGAAGUUGAAUAUUGUAUGUGUUGGAAUAGAAGGAUUGUGUAUUGAUAUAAAACUUAUCACUCUUAG